GAAUGCUGACAUAAGUAACGAUAAAGCGGGUGAAAAGCCCGCUCGCCGGAAGACCAAGGGUUCCUGUCCAACGUUAAUCGGGGCAGGGUGAGUCGACCCCUAAGGCGAGGCCGAAAGGCGUAGUCGAUGGGAAACGGGUUAAUAUUCCCGUACUUGGUGUUACUGCGAAGGGGGGACGGAGAAGGCUAUGUUGGCCGGGCGACGGUUGUCCCGGUUUAAGCGUGUAGGUGUGUGUUCCAGGUAAAUCCGGUUCACUUUAACACUGAGGCGUGACGACGAGGCACUACGGUGCUGAAGCAACAAAUGCCCUGCUUCCAGGAAAAGCCUCUAAGCAUCAGGUAACACGAAAUCGUACCCCAAACCGACACAGGUGGUCAGGUAGAGAAUACCAAGGCGCUUGAGAGAACUCGGGUGAAGGAACUAGGCAAAAUGGUGCCGUAACUUCGGGAGAAGGCAC
This 457-nucleotide ribosomal RNA is filed under the name Salmonella enterica subsp. enterica serovar Typhimurium. RNAcentral's name for it is "partial 23S ribosomal RNA". It matches the Rfam family "Bacterial large subunit ribosomal RNA", at positions 1292 to 1749 of the family's 2925-position model. Lineage: Bacteria; Pseudomonadati; Pseudomonadota; Gammaproteobacteria; Enterobacterales; Enterobacteriaceae. The record is from RNAcentral.